Molecule: ribosomal RNA, 253 nt
Filed under: uncultured bacterium
Lineage: Bacteria
Description: partial 16S ribosomal RNA
Rfam family: Bacterial small subunit ribosomal RNA
Source: RNAcentral
UACGGGGGGGGCAAGCGUUGUUCGGAAUUACUGGGCGUAAAGGGCUUGUAGGUGGCCAACUAAGUCAAACGUGAAAUCCCUCGGCUUAACCGGGGAACUGCGUCUGAUACUGGAUGGCUUGAGUUUGGGAGAGGGACGCGGAAUUCCAGGUGUAGCGGUGAAAUGCGUAGAUAUCAGGAGGAACACCAAUGGCGAAGGCAGCACUCUGGGACGUGACUGACGCUGAGACGCGAAAGCGUGGGGAGCAAACAGG